This 447-nucleotide ribosomal RNA is filed under the name uncultured bacterium. Its description in RNAcentral is "bacterial SSU rRNA". It matches the Rfam family "Bacterial small subunit ribosomal RNA", at positions 330 to 793 of the family's 1533-position model. The record is from RNAcentral.
GCCAGACUCCUACGGGAGGCAGCAGUGGGGGAUAUUGCACAAUGGGGGGAACCCUGAUGCAGCGACGCCGCGUGGGUGAAGGAGCGUUUCGGCGCGUAAAGCCCUAUCGGCAGGGAAGAAGGAGGACGGUACCUGACUAAGAAGCCCCGGCUAACUACGUGCCAGCAGCCGCGGUAAUACGUAGGGGGCAAGCGUUAUCCGGAUUUACUGGGUGUAAAGGGGGCGCAGACGGCGAUGCAAGCCAGGGGUGAAAGCCUGGGGCCCAACCCCGGGACUGCUCUUGGAACUGCGUGGCUGGAGUGCAGGAGGGGCAGGCGGAAUUCCUGGUGUAGCGGUGAAAUGCGUAGAUAUCAGGCGGAACACCGGUGGCGAAGGCGGCCUGCUGGACUGCAACUGACGUUGAGGCCCGAAAGCGUGGGGAGCAAACAGGAUUAGAUACCCCCGUAC